This 465-nucleotide ribosomal RNA is filed under the name uncultured bacterium. RNAcentral's name for it is "partial 16S ribosomal RNA". It matches the Rfam family "Bacterial small subunit ribosomal RNA", at positions 28 to 507 of the family's 1533-position model. The record is from RNAcentral.
GACGAACGCUGGCGGCGUGCUUAACACAUGCAAGUCGAACGGAAAGGCCCUGCUUGCCGGGUACUCGAGUGGCGAACGGGUGAGUAACACGUGGGUGAUCUGCCCUGCACUUCGGGAUAAGCCUGGGAAACUGGGUCUAAUACCGGACAGGAGCCAUUUUUAGUGUGAUGGUUGGAAAGUUUUUUCGGUGUAGGAUGAGCUCGCGGCCUAUCAGCUUGUUGGUGGGGUAAUGGCCUACCAAGGCGGCGACGGGUAGCCGGCCUGAGAGGGUGGACGGCCACAUUGGGACUGAGAUACGGCCCAGACUCCUACGGGAGGCAGCAGUGGGGAAUAUUGCACGAUGGGCGCAAGCCUGAUGCAGCGACGCCGCGUGGGGGAUGACGGCCUUCGGGUUGUAAACUCCUUUCGCUAGGGACGAAGCUUUUUGUGACGGUACCUAGAUAAGAAGCACCGGCUAACUACGUG